CUUCACCGACCCCAGCCACAGCGGCCGGUCGGCGGACCGGCCGCGCCCGUAGGCGGCCAGCAGCGCGUUCGCCUC
This 75-nucleotide antisense RNA is filed under the name Saccharothrix espanaensis DSM 44229. RNAcentral describes it as "ASpks TB sRNA". It matches the Rfam family "ASpks TB sRNA". Lineage: Bacteria; Bacillati; Actinomycetota; Actinomycetes; Pseudonocardiales; Pseudonocardiaceae. The record is from Rfam by way of RNAcentral.